GAUGAAGAACGCAGCGAAAUGCGAUAAGUAAUGUGAAUUGCAGAAUUCAGUGAAUCAUCGAAUCUUUGAACGCACAUUGCGCCCGCCAGUAUUCUGGCGGGCAUGCCUGUUCGAGCGUCAUUUCAACCAUCAAGCCCCAGGCUUGUGUUGGGGACCUGCGGCUGCCGCAGGCCCUGAAAACCAGUGGCGGGCUCGCUGUCACACCGGGCGUAGUAGCGUACCUCUCGCUCCGGGCGUGGCGGCGGGCGCCGGCCGUGAAACCCCCUACAUCAAAAAGGUUGACCUCGGAUCAGGUAGGAAUACCCGCUGAACUUAAGCAUAUCAAUAAGCGGAGGA
This 336-nucleotide unclassified non-coding RNA is filed under the name soil metagenome. Its description in RNAcentral is "partial contains 5.8S ribosomal RNA, internal transcribed spacer 2, and large subunit ribosomal RNA". The stretch from base 1 to 120 matches the Rfam family "5.8S ribosomal RNA", at positions 35 to 154 of the family's 154-position model. The record is from RNAcentral.